GAUGAACGCUGGCGGCGUGCCUAAUACAUGCAAGUCGAGCGAACGGACGAGAAGCUUGCUUCGCUGAUGUUAGCGGCGGACGGGAGAGAAACACGUGGAUAACCUACCUAUAAGACGGGGAAAACUUCGGGAAACCGGAGCUAAUACCGGAUAAUAUUUUGAACCGCAUGGUUCAAAAGUGAAAGACGGUCUUGGUGUAACUUAUAGAUGGAUCCGCGCUGCAUUAGCUAGUUGGUAAGGUAACGGCUUACCAAGGCAACGAUGCAUAGCCGACCUCAGAGGCUGAUAGGCCACACUGGAACUGGGCCAGGGUCCAGACUCCUGCGGGAGGCAGCAGUAGGGAAUCUUCCGCAAUGGGCGAAAGCCUGACGGAGCAGCGCCACGUGAGUUAUGGAGGUGUUCCGUUCGUAAAACUCUGUUAUUAGUGAAGAACAUAUGUGUAAGUAACUGUGCACAGCUUGACGGUACCUAAUCAGAAAGCCACGGCUAACUACGUG
Molecule: ribosomal RNA, 497 nt
Filed under: uncultured bacterium
Lineage: Bacteria
Description: partial 16S ribosomal RNA
Rfam family: Bacterial small subunit ribosomal RNA
Source: RNAcentral